This 402-nucleotide ribosomal RNA is filed under the name uncultured bacterium. RNAcentral's name for it is "bacterial SSU rRNA". It matches the Rfam family "Bacterial small subunit ribosomal RNA", at positions 359 to 775 of the family's 1533-position model. The record is from RNAcentral.
GAAUAUUGGGCAAUGGGCGGAAGCCUGACCCAGCAACGCCGCGUGAAGGAAGAAGGCCCUCGGGUUGUAAACUUCUUUUCUAUAGGACGAAGAAGUGACGGUACUAUAGGAAUAAGCCACGGCUAACUACGUGCCAGCAGCCGCGGUAAUACGUAGGGGGCGAGCGUUAUCCGGAUUUACUGGGUGUAAAGGGUGCGUAGGCGGCAUAAUAAGUUAGAAGUGAAAUACCCAGAGCUUAACUCGGGUGCUGCUUCUAAGACUGUUGAGCUUGAGUGCGGGAGAGGUUAAUGGAAUUCCUAGUGUAGCGGUGGAAUGCGUAGAUAUUAGGAGGAACACCAGAGGCGAAGGCGAUUAACUGGACCGUAACUGACGCUGAGGCACGAAAGUGUGGGUAGCAAACAG